ACGGAGGGUGCGAGCGUUAUCCGGAAUUACUGGGUUUAAAGGGUGCGUAGGCGGCUUGGUAAGUCAGGUGUGAAAUCCCUGGGCUCAACCUAGGAAUUGCAUUUGAUACUGGAAAGCUUGAGUGUGGUAGAGGGUAGUGGAACUCCCGGUGUAGCGGUGAAAUGCGUAGAUAUCGGGGAGAACACCAGUGGCGAAGGCGGCUACCUGGACUAACACUGACACUGAGAUACGAAAGCGUGGGGAGCAAACAGGA
Molecule: ribosomal RNA, 253 nt
Filed under: uncultured prokaryote
Description: partial 16S ribosomal RNA
Rfam family: Bacterial small subunit ribosomal RNA
Source: RNAcentral